This is a small nucleolar RNA of Cercocebus atys (sooty mangabey), 74 nucleotides long. NCBI's taxonomy places the organism in Eukaryota, Metazoa, Chordata, Mammalia, Primates, Cercopithecidae. The record is from Ensembl.
UGGCCAAGGAUGAGAACUCUAAUCUGAUUUCAUAUGCUUCUGCUGUGAUGGAUUAAAGGAUUUACCUGAGGCCA